GCUUUGGUGAGUCAGCAUAGUGGUUUGAGUGCUAGACUGUGACUCUGGAGACCAGGGUUUGAUUCCCAGCUUGGGCA
Phrynosoma platyrhinos (Desert horned lizard) is the source of this 77-nucleotide non-coding RNA. The record is from the annotation of a GenBank genome assembly. NCBI's taxonomy places the organism in Eukaryota, Metazoa, Chordata, Lepidosauria, Squamata, Phrynosomatidae.